Molecule: transfer RNA, 85 nt
Filed under: Aspergillus udagawae
Lineage: Eukaryota; Fungi; Ascomycota; Eurotiomycetes; Eurotiales; Aspergillaceae
Also listed under: 1 other name
Description: tRNA-Leu
Rfam family: tRNA
About the family: Transfer RNA (tRNA) molecules are approximately 80 nucleotides in length.
Source: RNAcentral
GGCAAGAUGGCCGAGUUGGUCUAAGGCGUGAGGUUAAGGUCCUCAUCAUCGUAUGAUGGCGUGGGUUCGAAUCCCACUCUUGUCA